AGUGAACGUUGGCGGCAUGGAUUAGGCAUGCAAGUCGAGCGAGAAGAGUUUUGAAGCUUGCUUUAGAACUCGGACAGCGGCGAAAGGGAGAGUAACGCGUAGUUAUGUGCCCUAGGGUCCGGAAUAGCCACGGGAAACUGUGGGUAAUGCCGGAUAACAUCCCCGGAGCAAAGGUGUGAUUCCGCCCUAGGAGCAGACUGCGUCCUACUAGCUAGUUGGUGGGGUAAUGGACCACCAAGGGAAUGAUGGGUAGGGGGUGUGAGAGCAUGACCCGUCUCACUGGGACUGGGACACUGCCCAGACACCUACGGGUGGCUGCAGUCGAGAAUCUUCGGCAAUGGGCGAAAGCCUGACCGAGCGAUGCCGCGUGCGGGAUGAAGGCCCUCGGGUUGUAAACCGCUGUCGUAGGGGAGGAAGGUUCCGUGAAGAGCGGAAUUUGACCUAUCCUAGGAGGAAGUACGGGCUAAGUUCGUGCCAGCCGCCGCCGUAA
RNAcentral lists this ribosomal RNA (490 nucleotides) under uncultured bacterium. Its description in RNAcentral is "partial 16S ribosomal RNA". It matches the Rfam family "Bacterial small subunit ribosomal RNA", at positions 29 to 523 of the family's 1533-position model. The record is from RNAcentral.